UCAGACGAUGCGUCAUGCAUAUCAAUAAGCGGAGGAAAAGAAACUAACAAGGGAUUCCCCUAGUAACGGCGAGUGAAGCGGGAAGAGCUCAAAUUUGAAAUCUUAAAGGGUUUCCCUUUACGAAUUGUAGUUUAAAGAAGUGUUUUCUGUUGAGGUUUUGGUAAAAGUUCUUUGGAAUAGGACAUCAUAGAGGGUGAGAAUCCCGUAUUUGACCUUUACUUUCAACUUUGUGAUACACUUUCAAAGAGUCGGAUUGUUUGGGAAUGCAGUCCAAAAUGGGUGGUAAAUUUCAUCUAAAGCUAAAUAUUGGCGAGAGACCGAUAGCGAACAAGUACCGUGAGGGAAAGAUGAAAAGAACUUUGAAAAGAGAGUUAAACAGUACGUGAAAUUGUCAAAAGGGAAGCGUUUGACACCAGUGUUGUUUUUCUGAAAAUCAAUUAAAGAACUGUUUAUGCUAAGCUGUUUAGACUUUAUCAGCUAAUCUGUUUAGUUUUGAGCUUUUCUUUAAUGCACUUUUCAGUUAACAAGUCAACAUCAAUUUCUUUUGCUGUAAAAAAGCUUGAGGAAGGUGGCUUGAGAUUCGUCUUAAGUGUUUAUAGCCUCUUGCCUAUGCAGUCGGAGAGAUUGAGGUCUGCAGCGUAGAUCCUUCGGGGCUAAAUGCAUUUGUGCUAAGUUAUAGCAUUUUAUAGACAACUUGUUGACUAUGAUUUGUCUUGUAGCUUACUCGCUUAUGUUAUUUUACCUACGCUUAGGAUGUUGACACACGCGCGUGCUCG
This 776-nucleotide ribosomal RNA is filed under the name uncultured Neocallimastigales. RNAcentral's name for it is "partial large subunit ribosomal RNA". It matches the Rfam family "Eukaryotic large subunit ribosomal RNA", at positions 18 to 643 of the family's 3401-position model. Lineage: Eukaryota; Fungi; Neocallimastigomycota; Neocallimastigomycetes; Neocallimastigales. The record is from RNAcentral.